RNAcentral lists this ribosomal RNA (230 nucleotides) under uncultured bacterium. RNAcentral's name for it is "partial 16S ribosomal RNA". It matches the Rfam family "Bacterial small subunit ribosomal RNA", at positions 562 to 791 of the family's 1533-position model. The record is from RNAcentral.
AAAGCGUGCGCAGGCGGUUAUGUAAGACAGAUGUGAAAUCCCCGGGCUCAACCUGGGAACUGCAUUUGUGACUGCAUGGCUAGAGUACGGUAGAGGGGGAUGGAAUUCCGCGUAUAGCAGUGAAAUGCGUAGAUAUGCGGAGGAACACCGAUGGCGAAGGCAAUCCCCUGGACCUGUACUGACGCUCAUGCACGAAAGCGUGGGGAGCAAACAGGAUUAGAUACCCCUGU